AGCGAACGCUGGCGGCAGGCUUAACACAUGCAAGUCGAGCGGGCAUAGCAAUAUGUCAGCGGCAGACGGGUGAGUAACGCGUGGGAACGUACCUUUUGGUUCGGAACAACUGAGGGAAACUUCAGCUAAUACCGGAUAAGCCCUUACGGGGAAAGAUUUAUCGCCGAAAGAUCGGCCCGCGUCUGAUUAGCUAGUUGGUGAGGUAAUGGCUCACCAAGGCGACGAUCAGUAGCUGGUCUGAGAGGAUGAUCAGCCACAUUGGGACUGAGACACGGCCCAAACUCCUACGGGAGGCAGCAGUGGGGAAUAUUGGACAAUGGGCGCAAGCCUGAUCCAGCCAUGCCGCGUGAGUGAUGAAGGCCCUAGGGUUGUAAAGCUCUUUUGUGCGGGAAGAUAAUGACGGGACCGCAAGAAUAAGCCCCGGCUAACUUCGU
RNAcentral lists this ribosomal RNA (434 nucleotides) under uncultured bacterium. RNAcentral's name for it is "partial 16S ribosomal RNA". It matches the Rfam family "Bacterial small subunit ribosomal RNA", at positions 29 to 506 of the family's 1533-position model. The record is from RNAcentral.